UAGAGUUUGAUCAUGGCUCAGAUUAAACGCUGGCGGCAUGCCUUACACAUGCAAGUCGAACGGCAGCACGGGGGCAACCCUGGUGGCGAGUGGCGGACGGGUGAGUAAAGCAUCGGAACGUAUCCUGGAGUGGGGGAUAACGUAGCGAAAGUUACGCUAAUACCGCAUAUUCUGUGAGCAGGAAAGCAGGGGAUCGCAAGACCUUGCGCUCUGGGAGCGGCCGAUGUCGGAUUAGCUAGUUGGUGGGGUAAAGGCCUACCAAGGCGACGAUCCGUAGCGGGUCUGAGAGGAUGAUCCGCCACACUGGGACUGAGACACGGCCCAGACUCCUACGGGAGGCAGCAGUGGGGAAUUUUGGACAAUGGGCGCAAGCCUGAUCCAGCCAUGCCGCGUGUCUGAAGAAGGCCUUCGGGUUGUAAAGGACUUUUGUCAGGGAGCAAAACUUACUGGUGAAUACCUGGUGAGGUUGAGAGUACCUGAAGAAUAAGCAUUAGCGGACUACGUGCCAGCAGCCGCGGUAAUA
This 523-nucleotide ribosomal RNA is filed under the name uncultured bacterium. RNAcentral's name for it is "bacterial SSU rRNA". It matches the Rfam family "Bacterial small subunit ribosomal RNA", at positions 1 to 525 of the family's 1533-position model. The record is from RNAcentral.